AUUGAACGCUGGCGGCAUGCCUUACACAUGCAAGUCGAACGGUAACAGGUCUUCGGAUGCUGACGAGUGGCGAACGGGUGAGUAAUACAUCGGAACGUGCCCGAUCGUGGGGGAUAACGAAGCGAAAGCUUUGCUAAUACCGCAUACGAUCUACGGAUGAAAGCGGGGGAUCUUCGGACCUCGCGCGGACGGAGCGGCCGAUGGCAGAUUAGGUAGUUGGUGGGAUAAAAGCUUACCAAGCCGACGAUCUGUAGCUGGUCUGAGAGGAUGAUCAGCCACACUGGGACUGAGACACGGCCCAGACUCCUACGGGAGGCAGCAGUGGGGAAUUUUGGACAAUGGGCGCAAGCCUGAUCCAGCCAUGCCGCGUGCAGGAUGAAGGCCUUCGGGUUGUAAACUGCUUUUGUACGGAACGAAAAGGUGCCUUCUAAUAAAGGGCGCUCAUGACGGUACCGUAAGAAUAAGCACCGGCUAACUACGUG
Molecule: ribosomal RNA, 482 nt
Filed under: uncultured bacterium
Lineage: Bacteria
Description: partial 16S ribosomal RNA
Rfam family: Bacterial small subunit ribosomal RNA
Source: RNAcentral